Molecule: transfer RNA, 77 nt
Filed under: Candidatus Altimarinota bacterium
Lineage: Bacteria; Candidatus Altimarinota
Description: tRNA-His
Rfam family: tRNA
About the family: Transfer RNA (tRNA) molecules are approximately 80 nucleotides in length.
Source: RNAcentral
GUGCCCGUAGUUCAGUUGGUUAGAACGCCAGGUUGUGAUUCUGGAGGUCGAGGGUUCGAGACCCUUCGGGCACCCCA